AUUGAACGCUGGCGGUAUGCCUUACACAUGCAAGUCGAACGGUAGAGGAGCAAUCCUCGAGAGUGGCGAACGGGUGAGUAAUACAUCGGAACGUGCCCAGUCGUGGGGGAUAACGUAGCGAAAGCUACGCUAAUACCGCAUACGACCCGAGGGUGAAAGCGGGGGACUCGCAAGAGCCUCGCGCGAUUGGAGCGGCCGAUGGCAGAUUAGGUAGUUGGUGGGGGUAAAGGCCCACCAAGCCUGCGAUCUGUAGCUGGUCCGAGAGGACGACCAGCCACACUGGGACUGAGACACGGCCCAGACUCCUACGGGAGGCAGCAGUGGGAAUUUU
RNAcentral lists this ribosomal RNA (331 nucleotides) under uncultured bacterium. RNAcentral describes it as "bacterial SSU rRNA". It matches the Rfam family "Bacterial small subunit ribosomal RNA", at positions 30 to 364 of the family's 1533-position model. The record is from RNAcentral.